ACGAACGCUGGCGGCGUGCUUAACACAUGCAAGUCGAGCGGUAAGGCCUUUCGGGGUACACGAGCGGCGAACGGGUGAGUAACACGUGGGUGAUCUGCCCUGCACUCUGGGAUAAGCCUGGGAAACUGGGUCUAAUACUGGAUAUGACCUGCUCUCGCAUGGGGGUGGGUGGAAAGAUUUAUCGGUGCAGGAUGGGCCCGCGGCCUAUCAGCUUGUUGGUGGGGUAAUGGCCUACCAAGGCGACGACGGGUAGCCGACCUGAGAGGGUGACCGGCCACACUGGGACUGAGACACGGCCCAGACUCCUACGGGAGGCAGCAGUGGGGAAUAUUGCACAAUGGGCGGAAGCCUGAUGCAGCGACGCCGCGUGAGGGAUGAAGGCCUUCGGGUUGUAAACCUCUUUCAGCAGGGACGAAGCGUGAGUGACGGUACCUGCAGAAGAAGCACCGGCUAACUACGU
Molecule: ribosomal RNA, 460 nt
Filed under: uncultured bacterium
Lineage: Bacteria
Description: bacterial SSU rRNA
Rfam family: Bacterial small subunit ribosomal RNA
Source: RNAcentral